CCCCCUGCGGUACACGCGGGGUUAACAGCUGGGGUUCGAGACGGGUGCGGGCUGGAUAUCGGCGGGGUGAAAAAGGGGCGAGGAGAAGGACUUAGUUUUAUUGCAACGGUAACGGGCAGCGCGAAGCGGCGUAAUAUGCAUUAUCAACACGGUGCCGCCAUUAUCUGGCCAUCUGCCAGCUUCUGCAGCUACGCUGCAGAAAAAUAUUCAGGGAACAUCGCGACCUAGACGCUACGGGACUCCGGCGAGCCGUAGAUAUUAUAAAUGGAAUAGGUGUCGCACCCCCGCCCCCGCCCCCCGCCCCCCGGCGAACCGGGACCGGGACAGGGGGAGGAACCGGAAUAUACCGACUCGUUUUUUGCAUCGCUCUCAGACGGACCGCCACCCCCGACGUUCGAAAUCCGGUGUAUCGAUGCGUCGUCAGCUCUGGAAUAAAUUCAGUUUCACUCCGGGUGACGGUGAUAAAAUAUUUCGUCGGACGGCGCGAUAAUCCCCGGAGAAUUUAAUGACGAAAUAAUCGACACCUCGCGGCCUACCGAUUAGAGCGCGAACUUGGCAGUGCGGAAAAGCGAAUCGCGUUGGGACUGCGAGAGCGAGAGCGGGUGGGAGAGAGAAAGAGAAAGAAGGGGUAUCGAUGGUAUAAAUUUAAUGACCGGGGGUUCGUAUAUUAAAUUCUAUUGCCUCGAUAACGAGGCUCCGAAGCGUCGAUGGUCAUACAUCACGAUUACCUCCAACCGCCGUCUCCGUAGCUGAGCGCCUACCAGCCGCAGCGGCAUCGCUACGGGGAUGUAGGUAGGGCACGGCUUUGAAGCGCGCAUAAAUCGAUCCUCCGAUACGCGAACACGCACGAUACUAAUUUGAAUACAAACGAACGAACGGUAGAUCGACCGACAACCUCCGCCGUCGAUUGAUUCGAUCGAGAUAUUCUCUGCUCUCGAAGUUCACCGGUUUUUUCGCUUCCCCGCGCCAUGCGCACUCGGGUUUUGUAACUCCAUUCGGAAAAAAAGCGAACCGAAUUCUAAAUCCGAAUAAGCCGUCCGUUGCGAAGUUUUUCGUUUCGUUCGUUCGCUUCGCUUGGCUUCGAGAUCCGAUGGAAAUAUUUAUGAAAAGUUGAUCCUAUUCAACGUAUAAUUCUAUGUCAAUCCUGAGCUGCGGAAUUGUUUUUAUAAAACAUUAACCGAAAGCCGAGGUCCUCAGCGAAAGCUCGACCCGAGAUAUUUCCCUGGAAAAAUAGUCGGCGUUCGCCAAAUAAAUCUGCGAUCAGAGAUUGGAUUUUACAGACUCGAUAUUUCCAAUGUCAUCCGCGGCAAAGUCCGGUCUCGAGCGGGCGGGGUUUUUCUCACCGUAUCCGGAGAUCACGGGGGCGUCUGAGGUCGGUAAUAAACUCGCAACACAACGUCGCGUCGCUUCGCAACCGGGCAACACCUCUGACAGAUUUCAAAUAAUUCCCAGCGAAAUUCGACGGGAGCACCUGCCGCACCGCAGCAAAACUCAUUCCUGAUCACACGCGACGAUAUAUAAACGCUCUUGGGCGGAUACUAUUUUUUUUCAAACGAUCGUCCAAGUCGACGAGGCGAACGAACGUCGUCCGUUCGAAAAGUACGCUACAAACGCGUUAUGAAUCGUUCCGCCCUCGCAACUUUGCGAAUUUCAAAUUACCCAUCAAUAAAAGUGGACAUCGAAGCGGUGGGUGGAGACGUAGUUCGGACGGUUCAAAGAGGGAAGGAGGAUCCGGAGAAGAAUUGCUACUUCGAACGGACGGUGAAAAGCGGCAAAACUUUGCCGAAGAAAGACCACUUCGCCAGUUGUUUAACUCGACGCGUAUACGGAUGUAACUUGUAUACGGAAAAUUGGACACGGGAUAAGGAAACUCCAGAGAUGACGUGUUUCCCGCCCCGUCAAAGGGACGUCGUCGACAGAUUGCCGCGAGACGGACGUCCUACCCUCGGAGGCCGACUAUUUUCACCUUCUCUCUGACGUCAAACGUGGACGGAAUUCAAAAAGGGUUCGCUAAGCCGACGUCAUAGAAAUUCCCCGCCGACCUUCGUAAGCUCCUCCUCGUCGCAAAAAUAGAUGAAAGAAAAAAAAAGUAAACAGAAUUGAAACGAGUGUAAUAAUUGAAAGAUCAACCGUCGUCGUUGUUGCGUGGACGAACGGUGGGCGACAAGGGGAAGUACACGAGAAGAGAAAAGAGGAAUCGGAGCUGGCGAUAAGAAUUAUGAGCGAGGAGCGAGGAGCGGGUCGGGGCUUACAGGCAAUCACCGAUGCGCCUAGCUUUCGCCCCGGAUCUAUUCUCCCUCUUAACUCUGGCUUCAGACAGGCGAGGCAUCACUGUCAGGGUUAUUCCGGACAUCGGGCCACCUUUUCCAAAAUCACACGAGAUUUCGAGGGUGAAAAAUCAUCCAACACCGAGGCGGGACAAUAAUCGUUGAUAAUCCUAUCGGCGUACGAGGGGAACAUCUCCGGAUCGUACAAUCGUUACACGGCGCGGCACGUCCCCUGAAAACAACCGUGACUGUCUGGAAACGUAGGUACCAAUGAACGACUCUCCCCCCGUUGAAAAGUGUCACUGGUUCUGCCGGAAAAUUCUGCAGGCCGAACAGCCAUCAAAAUUUGGAAUGCAGAAAAAACAGAGCUGACAUUGCAGUCGGAUACCUCGAGGCUGAGCGAAUCGGAAAGGAUCUGAAGAACGAUACCACGAAUAAAUACUUCAACAUUCGAUAAAACGAGACGAACGCGCGGUCCAAAAACCAGUUUGAUAUACCAUCGGAGGAACGAGACUAUCCUCGAGGCAUCUCCUGAGCCGAUCAUCAUAUGUUCGGAAUCUGCGAUUUUCAUGAAUGGGCUGAUAUAAUACCUCCUCUUACUUCACUGUUCAUACUAUUGUGACUAAUUAAUCAUAGAAACCAAUGUAUUUGUGAGAAUGAAUCGCCGAUUGCCAGUACCAUGUCCUGAAAUGUAUUUGUAACCGCUGAUUUUUUAAUAAAGCUUGACUAUAAGAUUGA
Molecule: RNA transcript, 3005 nt
Organism: Athalia rosae (coleseed sawfly)
Lineage: Eukaryota; Metazoa; Arthropoda; Insecta; Hymenoptera; Athaliidae
Exons: 4
Source: RefSeq, a predicted model, not a curated record